This 468-nucleotide ribosomal RNA is filed under the name uncultured bacterium. Its description in RNAcentral is "partial 16S ribosomal RNA". It matches the Rfam family "Bacterial small subunit ribosomal RNA", at positions 28 to 507 of the family's 1533-position model. The record is from RNAcentral.
GACGAACGCUGGCGGCGUGCUUAACACAUGCAAGUCGAACGGAAAGGCCCUGCUUUUGUGGGGUGCUCGAGUGGCGAACGGGUGAGUAACACGUGAGUAACCUGCCCUUGACUUUGGGAUAACUUCAGGAAACUGGGGCUAAUACCGGAUAGGAGCUCCUGCUGCAUGGUGGGGGUUGGAAAGUUUCGGCGGUUGGGGAUGGACUCGCGGCUUAUCAGCUUGUUGGUGGGGUAGUGGCUUACCAAGGCUUUGACGGGUAGCCGGCCUGAGGGGGUGACCGGCCACAUUGGGACUGAGAUACGGCCCAGACUCCUACGGUAGGCAGCAGUGGGGAAUAUUGCACAAUGGGCGGAAGCCUGAUGCAGCAACGCCGCGUGCGGGAUGACGGCCUUCGGGUUGUAAACCGCUUUCGCCUGUGACGAAGCGUGAGUGACGGUAAUGGGUAAAGAAGCACCGGCUAACUACGUG